CAGCCGCCGCGGGAAUACGUAGGGUGCAAGCGUUAAUCGGAAUUACUGGGCGUAAAGCGUGCGCAGGCGGUUAUAUAAGACAGAUGUGAAAUCCCCGGGCUCAACCUGGGAACUGCAUUUGUGACUGUAUAGCUAGAGUACGGCAUAGGGGGAUGGAAUUCCGCGUGUAGCAGUGAAAUGCGUAGAUAUGCGGAGGAACACCGAUGGCGAAGGCAAUCCCCUGGGCCUGUACUGACGCUCAUGCACGAAAGCGUGGGGAGCAAACAGGAUUAGAUACCCGAGUAGUCCCUGUCUCUUAUAC
This 301-nucleotide ribosomal RNA is filed under the name uncultured bacterium. RNAcentral's name for it is "partial 16S ribosomal RNA". It matches the Rfam family "Bacterial small subunit ribosomal RNA", at positions 509 to 807 of the family's 1533-position model. The record is from RNAcentral.